This 479-nucleotide ribosomal RNA is filed under the name Phyllopsora siamensis. RNAcentral describes it as "SSU rRNA". It matches the Rfam family "Bacterial small subunit ribosomal RNA", at positions 401 to 889 of the family's 1533-position model. The record is from RNAcentral. Lineage: Eukaryota; Fungi; Ascomycota; Lecanoromycetes; Lecanorales; Ramalinaceae.
GAUAGCUAAUUGCACAUAUAUAUGAUGUAAUAUCGACUCUGUCGAAUAAAAUUCCGGUUAGAAUUUUGAUAAUGACAUUGUUUGACCGUGUGUCUUGACUAAAUUACGUGCCAGCAGUCGCGGUAAUACGUAAAAGACUAGUGUUAUUCAUCUUUAAUAGGUUUAAAGGGUACCCAGACAGUAAAUCAAGCCAUAAAAGGGACUAAUUUACUAGAGUUACUUAUGCGGGGGUUUUAAAGUACUAAUGGUGUAGAGAUAAAAUUUUGUUAUACCAUUUUUCGAAAGAAAAGUUAUGGCACUGGUAAAGGCGAAAGCAUCCCCUUAUGUGAUAACUGACGUUGAAGGACGAAGGCUUUGGAUCGCGAAUAGGAUUAGAUACCCUAGUAGUCAAAGCAGAAAAUUAUGAGUGUCAUAGAUUAGAGAAAAAUCUUUAUUCUAUAAAUGAAAGUGUAAGCACUCCACCUCAAGAGUAAUUUGGC